GGUUAGAAAUAUGACAAAGCUAGGGAACAGGUAGAGCAUGGAUGAGGCUAUCAACAGAGAUCAGAGAAUGAAAACAAAUAUGUUGUAGCUUCAGUUAUGCACUGCCUCUUCCCUGGCUAAGUUUCUUUCCUUUUU
Molecule: microRNA precursor, 135 nt
Organism: Lupinus angustifolius (narrow-leaved blue lupine)
Lineage: Eukaryota; Viridiplantae; Streptophyta; Magnoliopsida; Fabales; Fabaceae
Rfam family: MIR408 microRNA precursor family
Source: Rfam